This 427-nucleotide ribosomal RNA is filed under the name uncultured Candidatus Protochlamydia sp. RNAcentral describes it as "bacterial SSU rRNA". It matches the Rfam family "Bacterial small subunit ribosomal RNA", at positions 355 to 774 of the family's 1533-position model. Lineage: Bacteria; Pseudomonadati; Chlamydiota; Chlamydiia; Parachlamydiales; Parachlamydiaceae. The record is from RNAcentral.
UCGAGAAUCAUUCGCAAUGGGCGAAAGCCUGACGAUGCGACGCCGUGUGAGCGAUGAAGGCCUUAGGGUUGUAAAGCUCUUUCGCCUGGGAACAAGGGAAUCUGGCUAACAUCCGGAGACUUUGAGGGUACCAGGUAAAGAAGCACCGGCUAACUCCGUGCCAGCAGCUGCGGUAAUACGGAGGGUGCAAGCAUUAAUCGGAUUUAUUGGGCGUAAAGGGCGCGUAGGCGGAAAGAAAAGUCAGAUGUGAAAUCCCGGGGCUCAACCUCGGAACAGCAUUUGAAACUCUCAUUCUAGAGGGUAGGCGGAGAAAACGGAAUUCCACAAGUAGCGGUGAAAUGCGUAGAUAUGUGGAAGAACACCGGUGGCGAAGGCGGUUUUCUAGCUUAUACCUGACGCUGAGGCGCGAAAGCAAGGGGAUCAAACA